UCAGCUGACUGCAUACAGAGAGGUGCG
Molecule: non-coding RNA, 27 nt
Filed under: Rattus norvegicus (Norway rat)
Lineage: Eukaryota; Metazoa; Chordata; Mammalia; Rodentia; Muridae
Source: RNAcentral